UACGUAGGGGGCAAGCGUUGUCCGGAAUCAUUGGGCGUAAAGCGCACGUAGGCGGCUUUGCAAGUCGGAUGUGAAAGCCCUCGGCUCAACCGAGGAAGUGCAUCCGAAACUGCCGAGCUUGAGUACUUAAGAGGAUCGCGGAAUUCCCGGUGUAGAGGUGAAAUUCGUAGAUAUCGGGAGGAACACCAGUGGCGAAGGCGGCGAUCUGGGAAGAUACUGACGCUGAGGUGCGAAAGCGUGGGGAGCAAACAGG
This 253-nucleotide ribosomal RNA is filed under the name uncultured bacterium. Its description in RNAcentral is "partial 16S ribosomal RNA". It matches the Rfam family "Bacterial small subunit ribosomal RNA", at positions 524 to 776 of the family's 1533-position model. The record is from RNAcentral.